RNAcentral lists this unclassified non-coding RNA (260 nucleotides) under Hevea brasiliensis (rubber tree). The record is from RNAcentral. Lineage: Eukaryota; Viridiplantae; Streptophyta; Magnoliopsida; Malpighiales; Euphorbiaceae.
UAUGUUAGAUUUGAACAACCUGAAGCAGCACAGAAAGCUCGUGCAACUGCAGUCUUAGCUAAAGAAGGUGGCUUGAUUGUAAAGAAUUUCAUUGCCAUUUUAGAACCAGUGACUGGUGAGGCAGAGGAGGAGUACUGGAACCUGCUGCGUGGCAAUCAAGAAAAACAUUGGGAAAAUAAAGGCAACCGCGGAAGGAGAGGAAAACACCAGAGAGGUGGUGGUAAACACCCCCGAUCUAGAGAUAAUCAUUCGACUGGUCG